Molecule: ribosomal RNA, 492 nt
Filed under: uncultured bacterium
Lineage: Bacteria
Description: partial 16S ribosomal RNA
Rfam family: Bacterial small subunit ribosomal RNA
Source: RNAcentral
AGUGAACGCUGGCGGUAGGCCUAACACAUGCAAGUCGAACGGCAGCACAGUAAGAUCUUGCUCUGACGGAUUUCCAGUGGCGGACGUGUGGGGACUACAUCGUAAUCUACUUUUUCGUGGGGGAUAACGUAGGGAAACUUACUCUAAUACCGCAUACGACCUUCGGGUGAAAGCAGGUAAUCUUCGCACCUUGCGCGAUUGAAUGAGCCGAUGUCGUAUUAGCUAGUUGGCGGGGUAAAGGCCCACCAAGGCGACGAUCCGUAGCUGGUCUGAGAGGAUGAUCAGCCACACGGGAACGGAGACACGGUCAAGACUCCUACGGGAGGAAGAAGUGGGGAAUAUUGGACAAUGGGCGCAAGCCUGAUCCAGACAUACCGCGUGGGUGAAGAAGGCCUUCGGGUUGUAAAGCCCUUUUGUUGGGAAAGACAAGCAGCAGGUUAAUACCCCGCUGUUCUGACGGUACCCAAAGAAUAAGCACCGGCUAACUUCGUG